UCUCGGUGAUGAGAACUUUGUCCAGUUCUGCUGCUGAUGUCACAAGUGAGGAUAAAGUGUAUCUGAGGAGA
Molecule: small nucleolar RNA, 71 nt
Organism: Myodes glareolus (Bank vole)
Lineage: Eukaryota; Metazoa; Chordata; Mammalia; Rodentia; Cricetidae
Source: RefSeq, a predicted model, not a curated record